RNAcentral lists this ribosomal RNA (253 nucleotides) under uncultured bacterium. RNAcentral describes it as "partial 16S ribosomal RNA". It matches the Rfam family "Bacterial small subunit ribosomal RNA", at positions 524 to 776 of the family's 1533-position model. The record is from RNAcentral.
GACAGAGGCCUCAAGCGUUAGGCGGAAUUACUGGGCGUAAAGCGUGCGCAGGCGGUUGUGCAAGACAGAUGUGAAAUCCCCGGGCUCAACCUGGGAACUGCAUUUGUGACUGCACGGCUAGAGUGUGUCAGAGGGGGGUAGAAUUCCACGUGUAGCAGUGAAAUGCGUAGAUAUGUGGAGGAAUACCGAUGGCGAAGGCAGCCCCCUGGGAUGACACUGACGCUCAUGCACGAAAGCGUGGGGAGCAAACAGG